CUCCGGUUGAUCCUGCCGGACCCGACUGCUAUCAGAGUGAGAUUAAGCCAUGCGAGUUAACGUAGCAAUACGUGGCGCACGGCUCAGUAACACGUAGUCAACAUGCCCAGAGGACGUGGAUAACCUCGGGAAACUGAGUCUAAACCGCGAUAAGUGAGGAUUUCUGGAAUGGUUCCUGACUAAAAUCUAUAUGGCCUCUGGAUUGGACUGCGGCCGAUCAGGCUGUUGGUGAGGUAAUGGCCCACCAAACCUGUAACCGGUACGGGCUCUGAGAGGAGGAGCCCGGAGAUGGGCACUGAGACAAGGGCCCAGGCCCUAUGGGGCGCAGCAGGCGCGAAACCUCUGCAAUAGGCGAAAGCCUGACAGGGUUACUCUGAGUGACUUUCGCUAAGAAAGUCUUUUGGCACCUCUAAAAAGGGUGCAGAAUAAGGGGUGGGCAAGUCUGGUGUCAGCCGCCGCGGUAAUACCAGCACCCCGAGUGGUCGGGACGAUUAUUGGGCCUAAAGCAUCCGUAGCCGGUUCUGCAAGUCCCCCGUUAAAUCCAGCUGCUCAACAGAUGGGCCGCGAAGGAUACUACAGAGCUAGGAGGCAGGAGAGGCAAGCGGUACUCAGUGGGUAGGGGUAAAAUCCGUUGAUCCAUUGAAGACCACCAGUGGCGAAGGCGGCUUGCCAGAAUGCGCUCGACGGUGAGGGAUGAAAGCUGGGGGAGCAAACCGGAUUAGAUACCCGGGUAGUCCCAGCCGUAAACGAUGCAGACUCGGUGAUGGGUUGGCUUCGCGCUAACCCAGUGCCGCAGGGAAGCCGUUAAGUCUGCCGCCUGGGUAGUACGGUCGCAAGACUGAAACUUAAAGGAAUGGCGGGGGAGCA
This 867-nucleotide ribosomal RNA is filed under the name uncultured archaeon. RNAcentral's name for it is "bacterial SSU rRNA". It matches the Rfam family "Archaeal small subunit ribosomal RNA", at positions 1 to 878 of the family's 1478-position model. The record is from RNAcentral.